CGUAGGAUCAUCUGGCGAGGGACAUACACUGUACAAGUGAAUCGCGGCGCGCCCUGCGGCCUGUACAGUUUAUGUCCCCGGCAGACGAUCUACGA
Molecule: microRNA precursor, 95 nt
Filed under: Triticum aestivum (bread wheat)
Lineage: Eukaryota; Viridiplantae; Streptophyta; Magnoliopsida; Poales; Poaceae
Description: miR9678 stem-loop (tae-MIR9678)
Source: miRBase by way of RNAcentral